RNAcentral lists this ribosomal RNA (478 nucleotides) under uncultured bacterium. RNAcentral's name for it is "bacterial SSU rRNA". It matches the Rfam family "Bacterial small subunit ribosomal RNA", at positions 1023 to 1503 of the family's 1533-position model. The record is from RNAcentral.
GGACAUCAGAGACAGGUGGUGCAUGGUUGUUGUCAGCUUGUGUCGUGAGAUGUUGGGUUAAGUCCCGCAACGAGCGCAACCCUUAUCCUUAGUAGCCAGCACUUCGGGUGGGCACUCUAGGGAGACUGCCAGGGAUAACCUGGAGGAAGGUGGGGAUGACGUCAAAUCAUCAUGCCCCUUAUGGCUUGGGCUACACACGUGCUACAAUGGCGUAACAAAGGGAAGCGAACCCGUGAGGGGGAGCAAAUCCCAAAAAUAACGUCCCAGUUCGGACUGUAGUCUGCAACCCGACUACACGAAGCUGGAAUCGCUAGUAAUCGCGAAUCAGAAUGUCGCGGUGAAUACGUUCCCGGGUCUUGUACACACCGCCCGUCACACCAUGGGAGUCGGGAAUGCCCGAAGUCAGUGACCCAACCUUUGGAGGGAGCUGCCGAAGGCAGGUCUGAUAACUGGGGUGAAGUCGUAACAAGGUAACCGU